Molecule: small nucleolar RNA, 102 nt
Organism: Leopardus geoffroyi (Geoffroy's cat)
Lineage: Eukaryota; Metazoa; Chordata; Mammalia; Carnivora; Felidae
Product: small nucleolar RNA U13
Exons: 1
Source: RefSeq, a predicted model, not a curated record
AUCCUUUUACAGUUCAUAAGCGUGAAGAUUGGGUAUUCACGCUGUUGUGUAACAUGUGCUUCCCUCAAACCUUGUUGACCUCAGCACAUUACCCAUCUGAUG